CCCGCCCGUGGAGCCGACCCCGGAACCCCGCGCCGUUGGAGGGACCCCGAGGGAACCCGAGCACCCUGUUGGGUUUGAGUGAAGCCUGAGGAGAACGGGGUAACUGGGGAGAGCAGCGGAGGGCAACGGAGCUGGCCCUGCACGCCCGGGCAGUCGUGGUGGCCAGGCGGCGAGUUGGGUGAGCGAGCGCGGAGUGAGCAAGCCGGGGGCGGAGUCGAGCCCGGCUGCGCUCCCAGACCGGUGGGCCCGGGCCCCAGCCGGCCUGACCUCGGGUCUGAGCCGGACGGCCCUGCCACAGAGGGACGCACAGAGCGAGGAGACAUGGCCACACCAUUCCUGCCCGCGGGGGCCACCACGGGCGACAGCGGUGGAGAGCUGAGCUCAGGCGACGACUCCGGGGAUGUGGAAUCCCCCCAGAACCCCGAGACCGAGGCGUCCAGGAACCUGGCGGAGCUAUUUGAGAAGGCUGCCGCGCACCUCCAGAGCCUGAUUCAGGUGGCCAGCAGAGAGCAGCUCUUAUACCUGUAUGCCAGGUACAAGCAGGUCAAAGUUGGAAAUUGCAAUACUCCUAAACCAGGCUUCUUUGAUUUUGAAGGAAAGCAAAAAUGGGAAGCGUGGAAAGCACUUGGUGACUUGAGCCCCAGUCAAGCAAUGCAGGAAUAUGUCGCAGUGGUUAAAACAUUAGAUCCAGGUUGGAAUCCUCAGAAAGUGGGUGAAAACAUGAGCGAAAUACAGAGAAGUGGAAGAUUAAAAAACCCAAGCUGAAAAUUCUGGAGUUGGAAAAAUACAUUAUCUGAAGUGAAAAAUAUAUGAGAGGAUUAACAACAGCAUUUUGGCCUUGCUUAGAGAAGAUCAGUGAACUCGAAGUGAAACUAAUCAAAAUGAGAAAUAGAAAAGCUAAUCUUCAUAUGGAAUUACAAAGGGUGUCAAAUAGUCAAAACAGUAUUGAAAAAAAAAAUUGGAAGCUUCGAAGCCACAGUUAAGUAGUGUGGAACUGGCAGGGGGGUAAACAUAUAGACCAAUGGAAUAGAAUUGAGAGUUUAGAAAUAUACUCUCAAGUUUAUGGUCAGUAAGGGUGGUACCAGAACCAUUCAUUGGGGAAAGAAUAAUCUCUUUAACAAUGUAGGGACAAUUGGAUAUCCACUUGCAAAAGAAUGAAAAUGCAUUCCUGUCAUAUAACAUACACAUAAAAUUAGCUCAAAAUGGAUCCUCAGCUUAAUUAAUAAAAUUACAAUUAUAAAAGUCUUUGAAGAAAUCAUAUGAGUAGAUCUUAAUAACCUUGGAUUUGAUCCUGGCUGCUUAGAUAUGACAGCAUAAACUCAAGCAACAAAAGAAAGAAUUAACAAAUAAGAUUACAUAUAUAUUAAAAACUUUUGUUAAGAAGACUCUGUCAAGAAAGUGAAAAGAAAUGGGAAGAAUAUUUGCAGAUUGUAUAUUCAACAAGGAUCUAAUAUCCAGAACAUAUACCAGAGAAGAAAGGAAAAGAGGCAAAUAGUGGUUUUGGCGGGCCAGUUGUUAGUUCUCUGUAUCAUGAAGAAACCAUCAGGGAAGAAGACAAAAACAUAUUUGAUUACUGCAGG
This is an RNA transcript of Ictidomys tridecemlineatus (thirteen-lined ground squirrel), 1580 nucleotides long. It is a transcript of the gene named acyl-CoA binding domain containing 6, with no coding region annotated. The record is from RefSeq and is a predicted model, not a curated record. Lineage: Eukaryota; Metazoa; Chordata; Mammalia; Rodentia; Sciuridae.